RNAcentral lists this ribosomal RNA (510 nucleotides) under uncultured bacterium. Its description in RNAcentral is "partial 16S ribosomal RNA". It matches the Rfam family "Bacterial small subunit ribosomal RNA", at positions 28 to 507 of the family's 1533-position model. The record is from RNAcentral.
GACGAACGCUGGCGGCGUGCUUAACACAUGCAAGUCGAACGAAGAGCGAUGGAAGCUUGCUUCUCUCAAUCUUAGUGGCGAACGGGUGAGUAACGCGUAAUCAACCUGCCCUUCAGAGGGGGACAACAGUUGGAAACGACUGCUAAUACCGCAUACGAUCUAAUCUCGGCAUCGAGGAUAGAUGAAAGGUGGCCUCUACAUGUAAGCUAUCACUGAAGGAGGGGAUUGCGUCUGAUUAGCUAGUUGGAGGGGUAACGGCCCACCAAGGCGAUGAUCAGUAGCCGGUCUGAGAGGAUGAACGGCCACAUUGGGACUGAGACACGGCCCAGACUCCUACGGAAGGCAGCAGUGGGGAAUCUUCCGCAAUGGACGAAAGUCUGACGGAGCAACGCCGCGUGAGUGAUGACGGCCUUCGGGUUGUAAAGCUCUGUUAAUCGGGACGAAAGGCCUUCUUGCGAAUAGUGAGAAGGAUUGACGGUACCGGAAUAGAAAGCCACGGCUAACUACGUG